Long non-coding RNA from Hermetia illucens (black soldier fly), 782 nucleotides. RefSeq lists it as uncharacterized. The record is from RefSeq and is a predicted model, not a curated record. The transcript has 3 exons. Lineage: Eukaryota; Metazoa; Arthropoda; Insecta; Diptera; Stratiomyidae.
CUUCAGGAGACAACUAGUCCAAGCCAGCUCAACGUGAUCUUUCGUGUUUGCCAGUCAAUUUCAUCUCUAAGCAAGGAAAAGACAUCGCAAAACUACCCUCACCUCGAAAGUAUUUUAUAUUUAGAAUGACAGCAAAUAAUCUGACGGAAAUCCGUUCGGAAAAUCAAUUCAAAUUCAACAUUCGGCCAUAAAUAAAACGAAUUUAAGUCCGCCCCCGCAAUCCAGUUUGAGUAAUGAAAUAAUUUUAAGUAAGCACCACCGACUGACGACAAACCGCUUUAAAGAAAAACAAAAAAAGCCCUUCGGAAUAACCGCCUUCAAGCAAACUGGUUUCAGGCAAACGACUAACUCCGGUUGAGUUAGGUUGAGGGAAAUUUAUCGUUCGAGGUAUCUGCAGCUAAGGUCGAACCGAAUCAGUAAUAGUCCUCUGACGAACUUCACAACCCAAACAGAGAAGGCGCUCCACCGACAACGCCUAAAGUUCUAUGCAUACGAUCCGAUAACUAACGUGUCCAGCACCGCACAUCACAGGAGUUCCAAUUCCACACGGAGCGUGUUCAGCACGGCUUUGGAGAAGCCAAGAACAUUUGUCUUCCGGCUUGAAUUUUAUAAUGGAGGGAAAUUAUUGCGCAUAUACGCCAUUUGGCGCAUCCCAGUGGGGUUUCCCAAGUAUUUCAUUGUUGCAUCAAUGAUUUAAUCAAUACAAACUAAUGAAAAGUGAAGGCGGUAAAAUUUGUAUCGACAACUGCAACUACCCUUCUUUAUGCAUGACAUUGUAAUCA